RNAcentral lists this ribosomal RNA (468 nucleotides) under uncultured bacterium. Its description in RNAcentral is "partial 16S ribosomal RNA". It matches the Rfam family "Bacterial small subunit ribosomal RNA", at positions 28 to 507 of the family's 1533-position model. The record is from RNAcentral.
GACGAACGCUGGCGGCGUGCUUAACACAUGCAAGUCGAACGGAAAGGCCCUGCUUUUGUGGGGUGCUCGAGUGGCGAACGGGUGAGUAACACGUGAGUAACCUGCCCUUGACUUUGGGAUAACUUCAGGAAACUGGGGCUAAUACCGGAUAGGAGCUCCUGCUGCAUGGUGGGGGUUGGAAAGUUUCGGCGGUUGGGGAUGGACUCGCGGCUUAUCAGCUUGUUGGUUGGGUAGUGGCUUACCAAGGCUUUGACGGGUAGCCGGCCUGAGAGGGUGACCGGGCACAAGGGGACUGAGAGACGGACCAGACGCGAAUAGGAGGCAGUAGGGGGGAAUAUUGCACAGUGGGAGGAAGCCGGAUGAAGAAGCGCCGCGUGCGUGAUGACGGCCUUCGGGUUGAAAAAAGCUUUAGCCUGUGACGAAGCGUGAGUGACGGUAAUGGAUAAAGAAGCACCGGCUAACUACGUG